RNAcentral lists this long non-coding RNA (380 nucleotides) under Brassica napus (rape). RNAcentral's name for it is "long non-coding RNA (BNAP_LNC022724)". Lineage: Eukaryota; Viridiplantae; Streptophyta; Magnoliopsida; Brassicales; Brassicaceae. The record is from RNAcentral.
ACAGAUUGUUUUUCCUUUUUUAUGAGUUUCUCUCAUUGUUCUUUGUUUAGAACACUUCUUAGUUUCUUGGUGAGGUUAUCUCCAAGUUUCGAUCCUUCUUUUGUUGGACCGGUGCAUCACAUCCGGCAACGAUCGAAGUCUGGUAGUAUCUUUGGCCUAUUCCGCAACCCUUAGUGUCACCCCUCGAUCCAUCAGUUCUCAAUCCUCUCGGAUCUGAGUUCAUAUCAACCUUACCGAAAGAGUGAUCCCGUUUUGGGCGUAUCAAGUGGUAUCAGAGCCACUCUUCCGGUAACUCUAUUAUCAUUCCAUCUUCUCAUCUCUCCAUCUUCUUCAAACACUUCUUCUUCUACCUUUCUUGAAUCCGGGCCCCUCAUUACCAU